This 251-nucleotide ribosomal RNA is filed under the name uncultured bacterium. RNAcentral describes it as "partial 16S ribosomal RNA". It matches the Rfam family "Bacterial small subunit ribosomal RNA", at positions 525 to 775 of the family's 1533-position model. The record is from RNAcentral.
ACGUAGGUGGCGAGCGUUAUCCGGAUUUACUGGGUGUAAAGGGCGCGUAGGCGGGAAUGCAAGUCAGAUGUGAAAUCCAGGGGCUUAACCCUUGAACUGCAUUUGAAACUGCAUUUCUUGAGUGUCGGAGAGGUUGACGGAAUUCCUAGUGUAGCGGUGAAAUGCGUAGAUAUUAGGAGGAACACCAGUGGCGAAGGCGGUCAACUGGACGAUAACUGACGCUGAGGCGCGAAAGCGUGGGGAGCAAACAG